AAUUGAAGAGUUUGAUCAUGGCUCAGAUUGAACGCUGGCGGCAGGCCUAACACAUGCAAGUCGAGCGGUAGCACAGAGAGCUUGCUCUCGGGUGACGAGCGGCGGACGGGUGAGUAAUGUCUGGGAAACUGCCUGAUGGAGGGGGAUAACUACUGGAAACGGUAGCUAAUACCGCAUAACGUCGCAAGACCAAAGUGGGGGACCUUCGGGCCUCAUGCCAUCAGAUGUGCCCAGAUGGGAUUAGCUAGUAGGUGGGGUAACGGCUCACCUAGGCGACGAUCCCUAGCUGGUCUGAGAGGAUGACCAGCCACACUGGAACUGAGACACGGUCCAGACUCCUACGGGAGGCAGCAGUGGGGAAUAUUGCACAAUGGGCGCAAGCCUGAUGCAGCCAUGCCGCGUGUGUGAAGAAGGCCUUCGGGUUGUAAAGCACUUUCAGCGGGGAGGAAGGCGGUGAGGUUAAUAACCUCAUCGAUUGACGUUACCCGCAGAAGAAGCACCGGCUAACUCCGUGCCAGCAGCCGCGGUAAUACGGAGGGUGCAAGCGUUAAUCGGAAUUACUGGGCGUAAAGCGCACGCAGGCGGUCUGUCAAGUCGGAUGUGAAAUCCCCGGGCUCAACCUGGGAACUGCAUUCGAAACUGGCAGGCUAGAGUCUUGUAGAGGGGGGUAGAAUUCCAGGUGUAGCGGUGAAAUGCGUAGAGAUCUGGAGGAAUACCGGUGGCGAAGGCGGCCCCCUGGACAAAGACUGACGCUCAGGUGCGAAAGCGUGGGGAGCAAACAGGAUUAGAUACCCUGGUAGUCCACGCCGUAAACGAUGUCGAUUUGGAGGUUGUGCCCUUGAGGCGUGGCUUCCGGAGCUAACGCGUUAAAUCGACCGCCUGGGGAGUACGGCCGCAAGGUUAAAACUCAAAUGAAUUGACGGGGGCCCGCACAAGCGGUGGAGCAUGUGGUUUAAUUCGAUGCAACGCGAAGAACCUUACCUGGUCUUGACAUCCACAGAACUUUCCAGAGAUGGAUUGGUGCCUUCGGGAACUGUGAGACAGGUGCUGCAUGGCUGUCGUCAGCUCGUGUUGUGAAAUGUUGGGUUAAGUCCCGCAACGAGCGCAACCCUUAUCCUUUGUUGCCAGCGGUCCGGCCGGGAACUCAAAGGAGACUGCCAGUGAUAAACUGGAGGAAGGUGGGGAUGACGUCAAGUCAUCAUGGCCCUUACGACCAGGGCUACACACGUGCUACAAUGGCAUAUACAAAGAGAAGCGACCUCGCGAGAGCAAGCGGACCUCAUAAAGUAUGUCGUAGUCCGGAUUGGAGUCUGCAACUCGACUCCAUGAAGUCGGAAUCGCUAGUAAUCGUAGAUCAGAAUGCUACGGUGAAUACGUUCCCGGGCCUUGUACACACCGCCCGUCACACCAUGGGAGUGGGUUGCAAAAGAAGUAGGUAGCUUAACCUUCGGGAGGGCGCUUACCACUUUGUGAUUCAUGACUGGGGUGAAGUCGUAACAAGGUAACCGUAGGGGAACCUGCGGUUGGAUCACCUCCUUACCUUA
This 1544-nucleotide ribosomal RNA is filed under the name Klebsiella pneumoniae subsp. pneumoniae Kp13. RNAcentral describes it as "bacterial SSU rRNA". It matches the Rfam family "Bacterial small subunit ribosomal RNA". Lineage: Bacteria; Pseudomonadati; Pseudomonadota; Gammaproteobacteria; Enterobacterales; Enterobacteriaceae. The record is from RNAcentral.